AAAUCUGCUGCUCAAGAACCACUGGGCCAGAAAAGCUGAAACUUGUGUGGAAGCAUCCUGGGGUAGUGUAGAUUCUAAAUUGUUCAAAUCAUGACCACCGGGGGUAGGGCGGGGCCACAAUGGGGAAUCAAAUUUUUACAUAGAAAUAUAUAGGAAAAAUCUUUGAAAAUCUUCUUCUUAAGAACCACUGGGCCAGAAAAGCUGAAACUUAUGUGGAAGCAUCCUGGGGUAGUGUAGAUUUCAAAUUGUCUAAAUUUUGAUCAGUGGGGUAGGGUGGGGUCACAAUAUGUGUUACAAGGGGGAAAUCUGGUAAAGAACAGAAUGGUCAAAGCUUCUCAGGUGAGUGAUGUGGCCCAUGGGCCUCUUGUUUGUAAAAUUUCACAUUUUCAUCUUUGGUCAAAUUCAACGAAACUUGGCAAAGAGUAUCCUUGGAUAAAUGCCAUUAUGGGAUUUAAGUUUAUUCAAAUGAAGGCCCACUCCCUCUUCAAAUGGAAGAUUACUACAAAUAAGAGAAAAAUUAAGGACAUCUUUUAAAAAUCUUCUUUUCAAGAACCACUGAGACAGGAAAGAGACACUUAUGUGGCAUCAUCCUCAGGUAGUGUAGAUUCAAAAUUAGUCAAAUCAAGACCCCAUGUUGGUGUCAGAAUAGGGGAUCAAAAAUAUAUAUAAUACUGUAGAUUCCUUAUUUUUCGCGAGUAAUUAUCGCGAAUAGGCUUUUCACCGUCAAAUCACAAGAAUAAUAAUUCGCAAAUGCAUGGUUGGUUAAGAGAUUUUACAUAGAUUUCAGCGCCAUAAAAAUAAAGGCGAGUAAUUUAAUUUUGUGUGUGGUGCUUCUCACGAAAUUACGCGAAAAUUAAUUCCACGCACAUAUUUAGGAAUCUACAGUAUGUAGGGAUAUACUUUUUUUUUCUCAAGCCACAAUUAGUUAUAUUGAUAGCAAAUCAUCCUUUUUGGUAGUGAAGAUUUCAUUUUGUUCAAAUCAUGUCUACCGGGAAAAGGUUUGGGCCACAUUGGACAAUCAAAGUUUUACAUUGGAUUAUAUUGGAAAUAUUUUUAGAAAUCUUCUCAGAAACAAAUAUGUCAUGACUGGUGAUAUGUAUACGGUAGCAUCUUCAUGUAGUGUAGAUUUAAGUUUGUUCAAAUCAUGACUCCCAGGUGUAGGGCAGGGCCCCAAUGGUGGAUCAAAAUGGACAGGGGAAUACUGUAAAUCACUUUUUAUUCGCGAGAACUUUAUUUUCACAUUAUUACGCGAGACGGUAUGGUCGCGAAAAUUUCAUUCUCGCAUAUAAUAUAAUUCCUUAAGAUUAUAUAGAGCAAUGACCACAAUUUUGAAAAUUUUGUCUCGCUAAUGAAGAGUCAUUGACUAUCUCGCGAAAAUAAGGUGUUGCGAAAAUUAAGUGAUUUACAGUAUAUAGGAAACGUCUUCUCAAUAAUACCAAAGCCAUAUAUAGUCAUAUUGAUAUGGAAGCAUCCUUAGGUAGUGUAGAUUCAAAUUUGUCCAAAUCUUGAUUCCAGGGGGCAGGGAGGGGCAUCAAUGGGGAUAAAAUUUUAACAAAGGAAUAUAUAGGAAAAAAUUUUAUGUUCAAGAACAGCUAAGCCAUUGUUAUUGAUAUGAAAAUGUCUCCAGGUAGUUAUUCAAGCCCCCUUCUCCUCUUCCUAAAUUUUAUACUUUUCAAUACUGGACUAAUUUGUCAUUUACUAGCCAAUAUGCUUAGGUGAGCAUAUUGCCCAUUGGCCACUAGUUUAUUUUAGAAAUCUUCUCACUUGGUAUGAAGUGCAAGUGAUCCCCUUUUGGUGUCUGUUAAUUUUUAUCUUUUUAAGAGGAAUACUUUUAAGGCUGAACAGGAUCCUGAAGUGAGGAGGACUCCCUCUCUCAUUGAACUGCAUACAGCAGCAGAAAGCAGGAUUUCAGUUCCCCUUUGAUUCAGAAGAGGAACAACAAUGGAGGACCAAGGUCAUUAAUAUAAGAAGAGUCUAUUCCUGUCUGUGUUUUGCAGCAGAAGAAAGUUAAGACUGACCAGGAAUUCUAAGUGAGGAAGAGUCCCUUUCCCAUUCCGCUGCAGCCAUGAGGAGAAUACUCGUAAGAAUCAGACUUUACUUCUUUUUUACCUAUGGAACUUCAUCAUGACCCACUUUAACAGGCAGGAGUCUUACAAGUAUUUUUUAUUUAAUUAUUUCUGACAUAUCUUUGUCCUCCCUACUCUAAAGUAACUAUGCUUUCCUCUCCUUGCCCCAAUAUUCCACCUUAUUCCUAGCUAUCAUAACCUUAUUGUCUUUAUUUGCUUUUUGAUUUUCAAGCUAAUAAUGUUGUAAUGAUUAUGUUCAUUUGAAUUUCUGUGAUUAUUACAUUGCUUUGUAUUAUUGCUUAUCUUCUCUCCAUCAAGUAUUUUCAAGGAAUUUGACAAGGGAAGAGGACCAGUGCUGACCAAGUGAAGAAAAAGAAGAGUCUAUUGCCAAGCUUUGUACAGCAGCCAAUAUCUGAUUAAGGAGUGGGUAAAAAGAUUUAUUUUUUGCAAUUUACAAAUUUUCUUUAUACACUUAUCAAAUCAUAGGUCCAGGGGGAUUUACUUCUGCUGCACAACAGCAAGACUGUGUUGCAAUAACAAUAGGGCAUCCCGAGGAUGUGUUGUUUCAAAUUACGUUACAUCAUGAUCCCUUUGGACUAGGAUUAGUAAAAAAAAUAUGAAUUAAGAAUUUC
Molecule: long non-coding RNA, 2698 nt
Organism: Saccostrea cuccullata (small rock oyster)
Lineage: Eukaryota; Metazoa; Mollusca; Bivalvia; Ostreida; Ostreidae
Exons: 3
Source: RefSeq, a predicted model, not a curated record